GAUGAACGCUGGCGGCGUGCCUAAUACAUGCAAGUCGAGCGAAUGGAUUAAGAGCUUGCUCUUAUGAAGUUAGCGGCGGACGGGUGAGUAACACGUGGGUAACCUGCCCAUAAGACUGGGAUAACUACGGGAAACCGGGGCUACUACCGGAUAACAUUUUGAACAGCAUGGUUCGAAAUGGAAAGGCGGCUUCGGCUGUCGCCGAUGGAUGGUCCAGCGUCGCAUUAGCUAGUUGGUGAGGUAACGGCUCACCAAGGCAACGCUGCGUAGCCGACCUGAGAGGGUGAUCGGCUACACUGGGACUGCGACACGGCCCAGACUCCUACGGGAGGCAGCAGUAGGGAAUCUUCCGCAAUGGACGAAAGUCUGACGGAGCAACGCCGCGUGAGUGAUGAAGGCUUUCGGGUCGUAAAACUCUAUUGUUAGGGAAGAACAAGUGCUAGUUGAAUAAGCUGGCACCUUGACGGUACCUAACCAGAAAGCCACGGCUAACUACGUGCCAGCAGCCGCGGUAA
Molecule: ribosomal RNA, 515 nt
Filed under: uncultured bacterium
Lineage: Bacteria
Description: partial 16S ribosomal RNA
Rfam family: Bacterial small subunit ribosomal RNA
Source: RNAcentral